This 1027-nucleotide ribosomal RNA is filed under the name Ligilactobacillus salivarius. RNAcentral describes it as "bacterial SSU rRNA". It matches the Rfam family "Bacterial small subunit ribosomal RNA", at positions 1 to 995 of the family's 1533-position model. The record is from RNAcentral. Lineage: Bacteria; Bacillati; Bacillota; Bacilli; Lactobacillales; Lactobacillaceae.
UUAAAAUGAGAGUUUGAUCCUGGCUCAGGACGAACGCUGGCGGCGUGCCUAAUACAUGCAAGUCGAACGAAACUUUCUUACACCGAAUGCUUGCAUUCACCGUAAGAAGUUGAGUGGCGGACGGGUGAGUAACACGUGGGUAACCUGCCUAAAAGAAGGGGAUAACACUUGGAAACAGGUGCUAAUACCGUAUAUCUCUAAGGAUCGCAUGAUCCUUAGAUGAAAGAUGGUUCUGCUAUCGCUUUUAGAUGGACCCGCGGCGUAUUAACUAGUUGGUGGGGUAACGGCCUACCAAGGUGAUGAUACGUAGCCGAACUGAGAGGUUGAUCGGCCACAUUGGGACUGAGACACGGCCCAAACUCCUACGGGAGGCAGCAGUAGGGAAUCUUCCACAAUGGACGCAAGUCUGAUGGAGCAACGCCGCGUGAGUGAAGAAGGUCUUCGGAUCGUAAAACUCUGUUGUUAGAGAAGAACACGAGUGAGAGUAACUGUUCAUUCGAUGACGGUAUCUAACCAGCAAGUCACGGCUAACUACGUGCCAGCAGCCGCGGUAAUACGUAGGUGGCAAGCGUUGUCCGGAUUUAUUGGGCGUAAAGGGAACGCAGGCGGUCUUUUAAGUCUGAUGUGAAAGCCUUCGGCUUAACCGGAGUAGUGCAUUGGAAACUGGAAGACUUGAGUGCAGAAGAGGAGAGUGGAACUCCAUGUGUAGCGGUGAAAUGCGUAGAUAUAUGGAAGAACACCAGUGGCGAAAGCGGCUCUCUGGUCUGUAACUGACGCUGAGGUUCGAAAGCGUGGGUAGCAAACAGGAUUAGAUACCCUGGUAGUCCACGCCGUAAACGAUGAAUGCUAGGUGUUGGAGGGUUUCCGCCCUUCAGUGCCGCAGCUAACGCAAUAAGCAUUCCGCCUGGGGAGUACGACCGCAAGGUUGAAACUCAAAGGAAUUGACGGGGGCCCGCACAAGCGGUGGAGCAUGUGGUUUAAUUCGAAGCAACGCGAAGAACCUUACCAGGUCUUGACAUCCUUUGAC